UACGGGGGGAGCAAGCGUUGUUCGGAUUUACUGGGCGUAAAGGGAGCGUAGGCGGGCUUCUAAGUUAGGUGUUUAAUCCCAGGGCCCAACCCUGGUCAGGCACCUAAAACUGGGAGUCUUGAAUAGUGGAGAGGACGAUGGAAUUGGGGGUGUAGCGGUGGAAUGCGUAGAGAUCCCCAAGAACACCAGUUGCGAAGGCGGUCGUCUGGACACAUAUUGACGCUGAGGCUCGAAAGCAUGGGGAGCAAACAGG
RNAcentral lists this ribosomal RNA (253 nucleotides) under uncultured bacterium. RNAcentral's name for it is "partial 16S ribosomal RNA". It matches the Rfam family "Bacterial small subunit ribosomal RNA", at positions 524 to 776 of the family's 1533-position model. The record is from RNAcentral.